This 468-nucleotide ribosomal RNA is filed under the name uncultured bacterium. Its description in RNAcentral is "partial 16S ribosomal RNA". It matches the Rfam family "Bacterial small subunit ribosomal RNA", at positions 28 to 507 of the family's 1533-position model. The record is from RNAcentral.
GACGAACGCUGGCGGCGUGCUUAACACAUGCAAGUCGAACGGAAAGGCCCUGCUUUUGUGGGGUGCUCGAGUGGCGAACGGGUGAGUAACACGUGAGUAACCUGCCCUUGACUUUGGGAUAACUUCAGGAAACUGGGGCUAAUACCGGAUAGGAGCUCCUGCUGCAUGGUGGGGGUUGGAAAGUUUCGGCGGUUGGGGAUGGACUCGCGGCUUAUCAGCUUGCUGGUGGGGUAGUGGCUUACCAAGGCUUUGACGGGUAGCCGGCCUGAGAGGGUGACCGGCCACAUUGGGACUGAGAUACGGCCCAGACUCCUACGGGAGGCAGCAGUGGGGAAUAUUGCACAAUGGGCGGAAGCCUGAUGCAGCAACGCCGCGUGCGGGAUGACGGCCUUCGGGUUGUAAACCGCUUUCGCCUGUGACGAAGCGUGAGUGACGGUAAUGGGUAAAGAAGCACCGGCUAACUACGUG